RNAcentral lists this ribosomal RNA (293 nucleotides) under Escherichia coli. RNAcentral's name for it is "partial 23S ribosomal RNA". It matches the Rfam family "Bacterial large subunit ribosomal RNA", at positions 211 to 542 of the family's 2925-position model. The record is from RNAcentral. Lineage: Bacteria; Pseudomonadati; Pseudomonadota; Gammaproteobacteria; Enterobacterales; Enterobacteriaceae.
CCGAGGAAAAGAAAUCAACCGAGAUUCCCCCAGUAGCGGCGAGCGAACGGGGAGCAGCCCAGAGCCUGAAUCAGUGUGUGUGUUAGUGGAAGCGUCUGGAAAGGCGUGCGAUACAGGGUGACAGCCCCGUACACAAAAAUGCACAUACUGUGAGCUCGAUGAGUAGGGCGGGACACGUGGUAUCCUGUCUGAAUAUGGGGGGACCAUCCUCCAAGGCUAAAUACUCCUGACUGACCGAUAGUGAACCAGUACCGUGAGGGAAAGGCGAAAAGAACCCCGGCGAGGGGAGUGAA